GUUGCUUCAUUCAUUAAUUGAAUCAAACAAGCUUGUUCCAAUAGGACAACCUGUGAAGAGUGAAAGAUUUUAUCACGUGUUUAACAAGUGAAAAGUGUGAUCAAGAUCCAGCUCAAACAACGAGAGUAGCCUCUUAUAAAAUAAUUAAUUAAGGUGAAAUAAAAAUUAUGUACAGUAAAUUAUACGGUCAUAUGUAAAAUAUAUUAUAUUAUUAAAAAAAAUCUGAAGUAACAAUCUCGACAAACUAAUCCAACUCAAUUGCUAAGUACAUAAUUACACAAUUCAAUGCCGAGCCUCCAAAGUUGAAAAUCCACCGCUAAAGUAACAAAGAAAUGAAUACUAUAAAGUUGAUUUAUGCCUUCUCCUCGAAUGCAUAAUAGAUUGAGAAAAAUUCCCAAUAUGUACAAUUUAUUUAUUAAACCCUUAUCAUUUCUUAAUAUGCUACAUACACUUGUGGUGGCCAUUAGACCAUAAUAAUGAAGAAAAUUAAGCUAAAAUCUUCAUUUAUUUUGUGUGCUUGCUUUGAUGACCAUUAUCCCGAACGUACCUACCUCCUCCAGAUACUACACAUACCUUUGAUUAUUUGUUGCCUCAAAAUGAUUCUUGAUGUCAUCGAUGAAUUAAAUUGAUUUAUUAUAAAAUUACAUGAUGUGUUACUUUUUCUAAGAAGUCAUAUAAUGUUUAUUUUGACCCAUUUGGUAUAGCAUGUUGGCUAUGUUUUUAAAGUUUCAUUAUACAUAGUGACCACUUUAAGAUGAUAUUUAAUUGUAUCCUUUCUAUUUUGUUUUGUUUCCUAUAAAUUAGAAUGUUAAAAUCAAAAAAUCACAAGAAUUUAUUUUUAUAAAGUCGUGUAUUUGUUUAUUUGACAAAUUUGAUAUAGUGCAUGUCUUGCUUAUCAGUAAGUUACAAGGCCCUUGUUUGAGCCCCAUUUUGUAGGAAGGAAUAUUGAUAAAAAAUGUGUGGUUAAAAAUUAAAGAAAAAUUUUGAAUUUGCAUGUAAUAUUAUUUUAUUGAAAAAUGUGUGAUUGAAAUGAUGCUAAAACACCGUUGAAAUUUUCAUUUUAUGCAAAGAAUGGGGCUCAAACAAGGGCAAGAUCAUAAAAUUCACUUGGCUCGACGCCAUAUUAAGAGCAACCUUCAGAGCCUUUAAAAAUUGAAUAACACUAUUUAGUCCUAUUGGGUGAUAACAUCAAUCUAUAUGGUGUUUAAUUAUAGGCUAAAUAAAAAAUGAAAUUAAAUGACAUAUUUAAUUUCAAUCAUUGUUUAACAUGACAUUAGCGUCAAUAUUAUAAUCCCAUUAGGGCUAAAUAACAUUACUCCUAAUAUUAGAAAAUCUAAUAAUUUGUUAUUUUAGGCUUUUUAUCUUCUCAUUCCUAUUUUGGAAUUAUCUAUUUCAGCUUAUUUAUGAGCUACUUUUUCACUCUUAGGAGGGUUCUAGGUACCUUUUUUAAGUAUUCAUGACAAACUUUGUAUCACCACAUCUUUCAAAUUCAAAUACCAUUAAACUCAAUGAGUUCAAUACAAGAAGUAAAAAUUAUGGCUAGAAUUGGAUUUAAUUAUCCAAUUUAUCUCUUAAUUCCUUUUUUGACAUCAACUCUUUUGCCUUACUUUUUGCUAUAAUUUUUCAUUCAUCGGAGUAGAUUCUUGGUAUCAUUUCGAAGUAUUCGCGCUAAAUUCGUAAUGUAUUUAUGGGAUUGAAAAACUUUAAUGAUGAGUUCAAAAUACAAACCAAAAGAUGACGCCUAGAAUUAAUGAUAUUAAAAUCUAUUUAACGUCAAAUUGACUCGGCUUACUCAUGUGAUUAAAUAUAUAAGAAUAAUAAAAUUUAUCAUACGGGAGAAUAAAAGAAAUCCGAUUCAUGAAAUUAAGUUCAGCGAAAAUAAAUAAAUGAAUAAGUAAAAAAGUUAAAAGAAAAUAAAGGCCAAUCAAUAUUAAUAAUAAUGUCAUGGUGCACACCAAUUCAUCUUUCAUUAUCAUUGACAAUCUACCCAAUUUUUUUCCUUAAAUUUCUCUCAACAUCAUCACAGUUUUUAGCCAAUAUAUAAUACAGUUUAAGACAAACAGAUUAAUAACCACAAAAAUUAAGCUUUUUUCUUAUCAUUUUUCUUACAACAUAUUUUACUCAUCUAUGAGCAGUAAUCAGUGUCUCUAUGAACCUUAAUCCAUCAAAUCUUGGCGCAAAUUUAUUGGAACAAGAAGAAGAAGACGGCCUCUGCGAUGUUGAAUUCUCCCUAUUUCUUCUCAUAAUCGCAUCCUAUAAAUUACAGAAAAAAUCGUCAAAAUUCAACGUAAAGCUAGAUCUCAAAAUAAUUAGUUUUCUCGGUUAGAAAAUAGGUUUCAAAUUUAGGGGUUUUGUGAUAUUGGUAAAAGUUGAUAAUAUAUCUUUGGUGCCAUGAAAUGUGGUGAAAAAGUGGAAAAAAGUUGUGAAUCCAAUGAAAUUUGUAUCUAAAAAUGAAAUUUAACCAAUUUUUUAACCAAUAAAAGCUUUAUCCAAUAAACAUUUAAUUGAAAAAGGAGAAGAAAAAGACGAGGGAAAUGAUUUUACCUCGUGCAGAGAGUGAAUUUUGGAAGUCGAGGAAGCGGAAAUGGCGGAAGCAGAAGCGGCCACUGAGGCUGCUAAGAGGCCUGAUAUCUUCAUUACGAAGGAAAAUAUUUUCCUUCUUAAUCAGAAAUCUUAGGUGAAAUUCUGGGGAAGGGAAUUUGGUUUUCUUGGGGAAAGUAUGGAAAGGAAAAUGUUGGGCGAGGAGUGGGUCGUUUAUAUAGGAAAAAAAGUGCUUGCC
This 2779-nucleotide long non-coding RNA is filed under the name Olea europaea (common olive). Its description in RNAcentral is "long non-coding RNA (OEUR_LNC006467)". The record is from RNAcentral. Lineage: Eukaryota; Viridiplantae; Streptophyta; Magnoliopsida; Lamiales; Oleaceae.